AGGAAGCAGACAGAGGGGCCAGCCCUGGGCCCCGAUUCAAAAUGGGGCA
Homo sapiens (human) is the source of this 49-nucleotide regulatory RNA element. The record is from Rfam. NCBI's taxonomy places the organism in Eukaryota, Metazoa, Chordata, Mammalia, Primates, Hominidae.